GGGAGGCUGCUCUGACGGUAUCAGACGCAGACACGGCUUGAGUGAUCCAUGCUACUUGUUGCUUCUGUGGCUAGCUUGGAAAUUAGCAGACGAAACUUGAACAUCGAAGCUUCUGAUGCGACCGGGUUGGAAGCUGGAAAUCUCCGUGUAGCCUCGUGUAGCAUCGGUCAGGUUUUUUGUUGGUGCACUAUUUGAUCCAUAGUGCUACUGUGAAGACUGGAUUGCAUUUCCAGAACUGGAUGGCGAGCCCCAGCCCAAGGAUCGGACAAACCAAUAGAUAGUGACCCGACUGGUCACUAUAACUGAGACAUUGCAUGAACAAUUGAUGGACACUGUGACAAAAGACUAAAAAGGAAAAAAGACUACAGACUGGAUUAUUUAUUUCUAAUUGUUUAUUUUCCUUGUGUUGUUUUUGCUUUGGGUUUCAAAAGGGAAAAGCGCGCAGUUUGUUAAUUGUGUAUAUAUAU
Molecule: long non-coding RNA, 467 nt
Organism: Archocentrus centrarchus (flier cichlid)
Lineage: Eukaryota; Metazoa; Chordata; Actinopteri; Cichliformes; Cichlidae
Exons: 3
Source: RefSeq, a predicted model, not a curated record